This 498-nucleotide ribosomal RNA is filed under the name uncultured bacterium. RNAcentral describes it as "partial 16S ribosomal RNA". It matches the Rfam family "Bacterial small subunit ribosomal RNA", at positions 28 to 508 of the family's 1533-position model. The record is from RNAcentral.
GAUGAACGCUGGCGGCGUGCCUAAUACAUGCAAGUCGAGCGAACAGACGAGGAGCUUGCUCCUCUGACGUUAGCGGCGGACGGGUGAGUAACACGUGGAUAACCUACCUAUAAGACUGGGAUAACUUCGGGAAACCGGAGCUAAUACCGGAGAAUAUGUUGAAUCGCAUGGUUCAACAGUGAAAGACGGUCUUGCUGUCACUUAUAGAUGGAUCCGCGCCGCAUUAGCUAGUUGGUAAGGUAACGGCUUACCAAGGCAACGAUGCGUAGCCGACCUGAGAGGGUGAUCGGCCACACUGGAACUGAGACACGGUCCAGAGUCCUACGGGAGGCAGCAGUAGGGAAUCUGCCGCAAUGGGCGAAAGCCUGACGGAGCAACGCCGCGGGAGGGAAGAAGGUCUUCGGAUCGUAAAACUCUGUUAUUAGGGAAGAAAAAAUGUGUAAGUAACUAUGCACGUCUUGACGGUACCUAAGCAGAAAGCCACGGCUAACUACGUGC